This 89-nucleotide transfer RNA is filed under the name Siccirubricoccus deserti. RNAcentral's name for it is "tRNA-Gly". Lineage: Bacteria; Pseudomonadati; Pseudomonadota; Alphaproteobacteria; Acetobacterales; Roseomonadaceae. The record is from RNAcentral.
UGUAGCGGUUGGGCGGCAUCGGCACGCCGAGAUUCUCCCGCAAUGUCGGCCCGGCGUAUUCGGUGCGGAACAUGCCGCGCCGGCGCAAC